AGAAGGAAGGUGGAUGACAAUGAGAUCCAGUUUCGAAGGGAACCCUGCAACGAGCUAGUUCAUCAUCUUUAGACGGGUUGCUCUGACCACAUAUCUUUUUUGCUCCUUCUUUUUUCUUUCUUUUUAUCAUCUUCCCCCUUCCCUCGACACAAAAAGAAAGAAGAAGCGACGUGGCAAAUGAAAUUAGACGUGGAUCGAAUUAGACCCUUUGGCACCCUCUCGUGUUUCGUAUACACGGAGUUCGCACUCUUCCCGAUAACGAUGAAGGCGGCGGAAUCGUAAAGCGAUAAAUGGUUAGAUCGUGUCUGGAGGAGGAAAUGCGACUCGUUAAGUCGGUUAAUCGGCGAUAACGUCAAAGGAGGGAAGAAGAAAUGUAGAGGAUGGGAAAUAGUCUCUGUACGUAAGGUAAUCUUUGAAACACGAAUACUCGAUUGGAGUCGUUGGUAGGGCGAAAGGGAGAACAAAAGAAAGAAAAAAAAAGAAGAUGAAGAAGAAAAGAAAAAAGAAAAAAAAGAAGAGAGAAGGAAGGGUGGUAAAAUUAAAAGGGACACGAAGUCGUCAUCCAGACUCGAUUGUCCCAGCGCGGGUUCUACAGCAAAAGACAAAGAAAAAGACAGACAUAAAGAGAAAGAGAGAAAGAGAGAAAGAAGGAAAGAAAGAAAGAAAGAAAGAAAGAGAGAGAGAGGGAGAAAGUAAAAAUAAAAAAAGAGGUUGGUAAUCGUUCUUUCUUUUCCUCCUCGUUCGUCUCGUCGAAGUCCCGCACUUAUUCGAAUAAAUCGUCGUCGUCGACGUCGUCAUAGCUCGGGAUCGGCCGUUCUCUGCGUCUCCGUUGCACGAUACUCGAAUAGAAACGCUGCCGCGGCACUCGUCACCCUCACGCGCCACUCUUCCGAGCCCUUCAGCACCCUCUGGCAGCUUUCGAGGCCCUUCACCUCCACCUUCAUCUCGGCAGGCAGUCUCCACUAGUCAUUUCAGGGGCGACCACUCGCCUAUCGAGCACGACUCGCGUCUGAAAAUGCUUCGAGACUCGCCACUACUAACUCCCACUCCAUCUUCGUUCCUAACGCAGACGCAAGUUUUUCAAGUUUGCCAAAGCGCACGCUGACUGUGCUACCUCCGUUCGAAUCGUUCGUCGUUUCCUCAUACAUAGAUCACCACUUUUUUCCUUUCAUUUGCACUUUUAUAUCUAAAGACGAAUGUGGUUAUGGGGAAAUGGUUCGAGGGGAAAAAUGUGCUAGAGAAAAAAAGAGAGUACGAACAAGAAUGAUGAUUUAAGACAAGGGUAGAUUUUCCUCUUCUCUCUCACGUACACGAAUAUGUAAGAACGUAUAUAUGUAUAUACAUUCAUACCUUCGGAAGAGUAACAACUACUAUAUAGACCAAAUGGAACGUAAAGGACAAGAAAGGAACGACAUUGCGACAAAUUGAGACGUAGCACCGAUCUAAACGGAGAUCGUUACGAAACGUAUCGUUCUAAGAAGCGACGAUGGUAAUACGAUGGACUGCUUUCCUACCACACCAGGGUGACCUCUAACGACUGGAACUUAUCAGAAUUUAUUACGGAAUAAAUAGAGGGAAUGUUUUCUUGGAAAUUGGAAGAUAUUCUUCAUGUGAUUAUAAAAAAUAAGUAAACAAUACGUAUCCAUAUCAUAUUAUUUUGUAAACAUAUAUUAGUAUACACACACACGCGCGCGUGCACACA
This is a long non-coding RNA of Vespula vulgaris, 1702 nucleotides long. RefSeq lists it as uncharacterized. The transcript is spliced from 3 exons. Lineage: Eukaryota; Metazoa; Arthropoda; Insecta; Hymenoptera; Vespidae. The record is from RefSeq and is a predicted model, not a curated record.